CCAUAUCUCUGACAAGUAUAUGUCCUGCGUUUAUAUACUACAACACUUAUGGUACAUCCUCAUUUGGUUGUUUUCCAAGAACUACAAAAACCAAAGUAGCCAGGUAUCUUGCAUUUUCAGCUAUUCGACGCCGCGCGCAUCUACUUCAACUGGUAGAAUCGUGUACAACUUGUGGAAUAAUCCAGGAAAAAGAUGGUGUCGCCAUUAAUUCUAUACAUAGAUAGACCCAGAAGUAACCUUAAAUUCGUCAACUAUAUGGUCACUUUCUUCAUGAAUUCCCC
Molecule: long non-coding RNA, 281 nt
Filed under: Hordeum vulgare
Lineage: Eukaryota; Viridiplantae; Streptophyta; Magnoliopsida; Poales; Poaceae
Description: long non-coding RNA (HVUL_LNC002542)
Source: RNAcentral